This 253-nucleotide ribosomal RNA is filed under the name uncultured bacterium. RNAcentral's name for it is "partial 16S ribosomal RNA". It matches the Rfam family "Bacterial small subunit ribosomal RNA", at positions 524 to 776 of the family's 1533-position model. The record is from RNAcentral.
UACAGAGGUCCCAAGCGUUACUGAGAAUCACUGGGUUUAAAGGGUGCGUAGGUGGCACGUUAAGUCGGUUGUGAAAUCCCCGGGCUCAACCCGGGAACUGCUUCCGAUACUGGCGUGCUUGAGGCCGGUAGGGGUCACUGGAACAGACGGUGGAGCGGUGAAAUGCGUAGAUAUCGUCUGGAACGCCUGUGGUGAAAACGGGUGACUGGGCCGGUUCUGACACUGAGGCACGAAAGCGUGGGGAGCGAACGGG